CCCGUUGAAAAGGUAGGGGAUGACUUGUGGAUCGGAGUGAAAGGCUAAUCAAGCUCGGAGAUAGCUGGUUCUCCUCGAAAGCUAUUUAGGUAGCGCCUCAUGUAUCACUCUGGGGGGUAGAGCACUGUUUCGGCUAGGGGGUCAUCCCGACUUACCAAACCGAUGCAAACUCCGAAUACCCAGAAGUGCCGAGCAUGGGAGACACACGGCGGGUGCUAACGUCCGUCGUGAAAAGGGAAACAACCCAGACCGCCAGCUAAGGUCCCAAAGUUGUGGUUAAGUGGUAAACGAUGUGGGAAGGCUUAGACAGCUAGGAGGUUGGCUUAGAAGCAGCCAUCCUUUAAAGAAAGCGUAAUAGCUCACUAGUCGAGUCGGCCUGCGCGGAAGAUGUAACGGGGCUCAAACCACACACCGAAGCUGCGGGUGUCACGUAAGUGACGCGGUAGAGGAGCGUUCUGUAAGCCUGUGAAGGUGAGUUGAGAAGCUUGCUGGAGGUAUCAGAAGUGCGAAUGCUGACAUGAGUAACGACAAUGGGUGUGAAAAACACCCACGCCGAAAGACCAAGGGUUCCUGCGCAACGUUAAUCGACGCAGGGUUAGUCGGUUCCUAAGGCGAGGCUGAAAAGCGUAGUCGAUGGGAAACAGGUUAAUAUUCCUGUACUUCUGGUUACUGCGAUGGAGGGACGGAGAAGGCUAGGCCAGCUUGGCGUUGGUUGUCCAAGUUUAAGGUGGUAGGCUGAAAUCUUAGGUAAAUCCGGGGUUUCAAGGCCGAGAGCUGAUGACGAGUCGUCUUUUAGAUGACGAAGUGGUUGAUGCCAUGCUUCCAAGAAAAGCUUCUAAGCUUCAGGUAACCAGGAACCGUACCCCAAACCGACACAGGUGGUCGGGUAGAGAAUACCAAGGCGCUUGAGAGAACUCGGGUGAAGGAACUAGGCAAAAUGGCACCGUAACUUCGGGAGAAGGUGCGCCGGCUAGGGUGAAGGAUUUACUCCGUAAGCUCUGGCUGGUCGAAGAUACCAGGCCGCUGCGACUGUUUAUUAAAAACACAGCACUCUGCAAACACGAAAGUGGACGUAUAGGGUGUGACGCCUGCCCGGUGCCGGAAGGUUAAUUGAUGGGGUUAGCGCAAGCGAAGCUCUUGAUCGAAGCCCCGGUAAACGGCGGCCGUAACUAUAACGGUCCUAAGGUAGCGAAAUUCCUUGUCGGGUAAGUUCCGACCUGCACGAAUGGCGUAACGAUGGCGGCGCUGUCUCCACCCGAGACUCAGUGAAAUUGAAAUCGCUGUGAAGAUGCAGUGUAUCCGCGGCUAGACGGAAAGACCCCGUGAACCUUUACUGUAGCUUUGCACUGGACUUUGAGCCUGCUUGUGUAGGAUAGGUGGGAGGCUUUGAAGCGUGGACGCCAGUUCGCGUGGAGCCAUCCUUGAAAUACCACCCUGGCAUGCUUGAGGUUCUAACUCUGGUCCGUGAUCCGGAUCGAGGACAGUGUAUGGUGGGCAGUUUGACUGGGGCGGUCUCCUCCUAAAGAGUAACGGAGGAGUACGAAGGUGCGCUCAGACCGGUCGGAAAUCGGUCGCAGAGUAUAAAGGCAAAAGCGCGCUUGACUGCGAGACAGACACGUCGAGCAGGUACGAAAGUAGGUCUUAGUGAUCCGGUGGUUCUGUAUGGAAGGGCCAUCGCUCAACGGAUAAAAGGUACUCCGGGGAUAACAGGCUGAUACCGCCCAAGAGUUCAUAUCGACGGCGGUGUUUGGCACCUCGAUGUCGGCUCAUCACAUCCUGGGGCUGAAGCCGGUCCCAAGGGUAUGGCUGUUCGCCAUUUAAAGUGGUACGCGAGCUGGGUUUAGAACGUCGUGAGACAGUUCGGUCCCUAUCU
This 1873-nucleotide ribosomal RNA is filed under the name Pseudomonas aeruginosa. RNAcentral's name for it is "bacterial LSU rRNA". It matches the Rfam family "Bacterial large subunit ribosomal RNA", at positions 785 to 2643 of the family's 2925-position model. The record is from RNAcentral. Lineage: Bacteria; Pseudomonadati; Pseudomonadota; Gammaproteobacteria; Pseudomonadales; Pseudomonadaceae.